Molecule: ribosomal RNA, 331 nt
Filed under: uncultured bacterium
Lineage: Bacteria
Description: bacterial SSU rRNA
Rfam family: Bacterial small subunit ribosomal RNA
Source: RNAcentral
CGCGUAGGCGGAUGUUACAGUCAGGCGUGAAAUUCCUGGGCUCAACCUGGGGGCUGCGUUUGAUACGUGAUGUCUGGAGUUCGGAAGAGGGUCGUGGAAUUCCCAGUGUAGAGGUGAAAUUCGUAGAUAUUGGGAAGAACACCGGUGGCGAAGGCGGCGACCUGGUCCGAUACUGACGCUGAGGCGCGAAAGUGUGGGGAGCAAACAGGAUUAGAUACCCUGGUAGUCCACGCUGUAAACGAUGUGCGCUGGAUGUUGGGUGACAUAGUCAUUCAGUGUCGUAGCUAACGCGAUAAGCGCACCGCCUGGGGAGUACGGCCGCAAGGUUGAA